RNAcentral lists this ribosomal RNA (465 nucleotides) under uncultured bacterium. RNAcentral's name for it is "partial 16S ribosomal RNA". It matches the Rfam family "Bacterial small subunit ribosomal RNA", at positions 28 to 507 of the family's 1533-position model. The record is from RNAcentral.
GACGAACGCUGGCGGCGUGCUUAACACAUGCAAGUCGAACGGAAAGGCCCCUUUGGGGGUACUCGAGUGGCGAACGGGUGAGUAACACGUGAGUAACCUGCCCUAGACUUCGGGAUAACUUCAGGAAACUGGGGCUAAUACCGGAUAGGAAUCCUUGCUGCAUGGUGGGGGUUGGAAAGCUUCGGCGGUUUUGGAUGGACUCGCGGCUUAUCAGCUUGUUGGUGGGGUAGUGGCUUACCAAGGCUUUGACGGGUAGCCGGCCUGAGAGGGCGACCGGCCACAUUGGGACUGAGAUACGGCCCAGACUCCUACGGGAGGCAGCAGUGGGGAAUAUUGCACAAUGGGCGGAAGCCUGAUGCAGCAACGCCGCGUGCGGGAUGACGGCCUUCGGGUUGUAAACCGCUUUCAGCAGGGGCGAAGCUUGUGGUGACGGUACCUGCAGAAGAAGCACCGGCUAACUACGUG